Long non-coding RNA from Micropterus salmoides (largemouth bass), 861 nucleotides. RefSeq lists it as uncharacterized. The transcript is spliced from 4 exons. The record is from RefSeq and is a predicted model, not a curated record. NCBI's taxonomy places the organism in Eukaryota, Metazoa, Chordata, Actinopteri, Centrarchiformes, Centrarchidae.
AACUACCAGACAGACAUUAUGAAUGUCAGUCUGGUAGGUCUUUCUGUUGUUGAAUAAAUUAUCCAUUUAUUUUAUUUUCUGUGUCUUUAAUUAUAAUUUCUUGUUCAUUUCAGUGAAACCCACCACUAAGAGUCCUUCUUCCACCACCUCUCCUCCUGAUUCCUCCUCUCCUCAUCUCUCUGUGUUCUGGUCUGCUGUUCUAUCUUUCUGUGUUCUGGUUCUUCUGGUUCUUCUGGUUCUACUGGUGAGACGAUGCCCCCACAGGAAACCUAAAGCUGCUGAAGUUGGAGAUGAUGACAUCACAGAUCUACAGCAGCCAAUCAGAUACAGCAACGUGUGUUAUUCAGUUGCAGUCUACUCAGCAGUGAGAGGAGCAGGAGACAUCAGUUAUGGACAAAUAGCCAUCAGACCACACAGGACGAGAGGAAAUUGCAGCCAAAAAAAAGGACGCAUGAGAAUUUGACAAGGAAACAGAGAUGUUGGCGGAAACAGGCAAUGAGAAAAGUAACUAUUGAAGAUUAUUGCAGCUAAGGGAGGGGUUAUUUCUUUUGUUUAUCUGCAAGAGUCGAGGAAAAUACCAGGCUUAUUGGGGCAGGGAGGCCUAGAGGUUUAUGUGAUCUCGAUUACUGAAUAAGUGAUUGUUCUGUGUUUGGUACUCAUCUGAGAACAUAUUAGGUCGUCUGGUCAGUCUGAUAAUUUGCAUUUAUUAUAUUCUAACUAAAACUGAUUAAAUCUCAUUUCCAACAUUUAAUACUUCUAAGAAUUGGGUUACUUUUAACAAUCAAGUAUUCUCUGAUAUUCAUUUUAAGUAUCACUCCUGGCAUGUGAUAGUUAUUAAUAAUUCAUCUUAUUCAAACAUUU